RNAcentral lists this ribosomal RNA (253 nucleotides) under uncultured bacterium. RNAcentral describes it as "partial 16S ribosomal RNA". It matches the Rfam family "Bacterial small subunit ribosomal RNA", at positions 524 to 776 of the family's 1533-position model. The record is from RNAcentral.
UACGGAGGGGGUUAGCGUUGUUCGGAAUGACUGGGCGUAAAGCGCGCGUAGGCGGAUCAUCAAGUCGGGGGUGAAAUCCCGGGGCUCAACCCCGGAAUGGCCUUCGAGACUGGUGGUCUUGAGUUCGAGAGAGGUGAGUGGAAUUCCGAGUGUAGAGGUGAAAUUCGUAGAUAUUCGGAGGAACACCAGUGGCGAAGGCGGCUCACUGGCUCGACACUGACGCUGAGGUGCGAAAGCGUGGGGAGCGAACAGG